Molecule: ribosomal RNA, 454 nt
Filed under: uncultured Gammaproteobacteria bacterium
Lineage: Bacteria; Pseudomonadati; Pseudomonadota; Gammaproteobacteria
Description: partial 16S ribosomal RNA
Source: RNAcentral
AUGCGUUAGCUGUGCCACUGAACUCGAAAGUCCAACGGCUAGUUGUCAUCGUUACGGCGUGGACUACCAGGGUAUCUAAUCCUGUUUGCUACCCACGCUUUCGCACCUCAGCGUCAGUUACGGUCCAGAGAGUUGCCUUCGCCAUUGGUAUUCCUCAUGAUAUCUACGCAUUUCACCGCUACACCAUGAAUUCUACUCUCCUCUCCCGUACUCCAGUUUAAAAGUUUUGAAUGCAGUUCCCAGGUUAAGCCCGGGGAUUUCACACCCAACUUGUCAAACCGCCUACGCGCGCUUUACGCCCAGUAAUUCCGAUUAACGCUUGGACCCUCCGUAUUACCGCGGCUGCUGGCACGGAGUUAGCCGGUCCUUAUUCUGUAAGUAAUGUCAUGGUUAUUGGGUAUUAACCAAUAACUUUUCUUCCUUACCUAAAGUGCUUUACAACCCGAAGGCCUUC